GAAGCAGGCCAGGCCGCCGCUGAUGCCAAGGUGGCAACACAGGCAUUGGAGGAACGUCCGGACUGCACAGGGCAGCGUAGCAGGUAACACCUGCCCACCGUGAGGUGAGGAUCAGAGCAACAGAGACGAGUCGCCCCGCAGCGCGCUGCGGGGCGGGUGAAACGGGCAAUCUCUACGCGCAGCAAUACCAAAUAGGCAUGCGAUGAACUGGCUCCGGCGAGCAUGCGGGUAGGUAGCACCGAGCUGGCAGGGCGACCUGCCAGCCCAGAUUAAUGGCGGCCACGCGGCCAUGCACAUGGCCGUGCACAGAAUCCGGCGUAUCGGCCUGCUUCACAC
Molecule: RNase P RNA, 336 nt
Filed under: Vandammella animalimorsus
Lineage: Bacteria; Pseudomonadati; Pseudomonadota; Betaproteobacteria; Burkholderiales; Comamonadaceae
Description: Bacterial RNase P class A
Rfam family: Bacterial RNase P class A
About the family: Ribonuclease P (RNase P) is a ubiquitous endoribonuclease, found in archaea, bacteria and eukarya as well as chloroplasts and mitochondria. Its best characterised activity is the generation of mature 5'-ends of tRNAs by cleaving the 5'-leader elements of precursor-tRNAs.
Source: Rfam by way of RNAcentral